UGGCAACUCUCGUUCGCGGAAACUCUACAAGUUCGCGUGAUUGGUGUGUAUGGAGUGGCCCCGUUGGAAAAAUCUUGUUGCUCGAUAUUAUCUACAUUAACUACAAGUGAUUGAUGCGUCUGAUAAUGUGAUUUAGUCAGAGUGUCUCAAGUUUGUUGAGGGAAAAAUAAAUUAGAGAUGGUUGAAAUUCAGUUUACAGAGUAAACCAUUUCAUUCAUAUCUAAGUUGAUUCGCUGAGCAAAUUGAGAAAUUAUGAGCCAAAUCACAAUAUCAUGCAUACAUCACUGACCUUGUAAGUGUUGUAUUGUAGACUAUUUUGAGCAACGAUGUCUUUCCAACGCCGCCCAUUCCAUAUACACCAAUCACGCUAAUUUGUGGAGUUUCAGCGAACAAAGAGUAUUCA
RNAcentral lists this microRNA precursor (403 nucleotides) under Picea abies (Norway spruce). Its description in RNAcentral is "miR482r stem-loop (pab-MIR482r)". Its record names the gene pab-MIR482r. Lineage: Eukaryota; Viridiplantae; Streptophyta; Pinopsida; Pinales; Pinaceae. The record is from miRBase by way of RNAcentral.